UCAUGGCCACCAAUCAGCAUGUACGGAAGUGUAAAAUCUGGCAGAGUACUGCAAGCUGUAGACAUAGUUUUUACCCUCGAUGUUUUCCCCUUCUCAGGCCCUUGGCUGAAAACCAACUGUCUGAUGCUUAUGAAUUCUCCUGUAUUUGCUGCUAAUUAUCACCCUAUUCGGCAAGAAUGCAGUGAUUAGAUAGAAACAUGCUAAAUUUCCUGCAUGCAACCUUUUAGCUGUUUGACACAUUGUUGUAUCGCCAUGAAGCCUGAAUUUUCCCCUUCUUUUGACAUGCCUGAAGUUUGUGAAUUAAAAGAUUGAAGUAAUUCACUGCAUAAAGAAGGAAGACAUAUUGACAUAAGAAUACUCAGAUCACAGCGUGGUGGUUUCUCCUCCCAGAGAGAGGGAGGGAGAGAUAGAUGUGUGCUCGGUAGACGCCUUCUGAGAUUCCUUGGGCAGUCUCCUGUAUUUGAGCAUGGGGUCAGUAUAGCUUACAUGAUAUGCCAGUGCUCCUGGCCAAGUUUUUUUUAAAAAAAGCUACAUUUGCAUUUUGUGAGACAUAAUGUAAGCAAAGUAACUUCAUCAGGAAUCAAUCCUCUGUCCAUACCUCUAGCAUAGGGCUCUGAGGUAAAGCCUACACUAAUGCACUAUUUCAAGAUCUAUAGUUUGAUACUGCAUAUAGGUAAUAACAUUUGUUGACAUAAAAUCCAGUGGUCCAUUCUGAGGUCAUGGUUUGCCUACUUUGAUUUCUUCUUGCUGUCUCAGACCUGGAAAAUGAUAUAUUUAACAUUUCAGCUUGACAUGAAAGUGCUGUAUAUAGUAUUUGGAUUCGUUUACAAUUCAUAACUAGUAAGUUGAGUUUAGUUUUGGAUUCUGGUUGACCAUCACUUGAUCAAUACGGAUAUGGCAGAUGAUAACUGAUGAGUAUUUUGACUUGUCAGCCUGAGGUCUCAUGUAGAGUCCAUGAUCGAUUUGCUAUUUCCAAUUUCCAUGCCCAUUGUACAUUGUAUUGAAUUCCAGCUGACAUCAUGAAAGAAUAUUUUAUGAGAGUUUUAGUAAUAGGGUGGUCAAAGGAAACUUCUGUUUCAGACAUGAUUUUAUUAUGUCUGUCCUUAUAGCAGUGGGUUUACUUGCUGUCAAAGUACACUACCUUGACUUUGCAAUUUGGUCGUUUUCUCCCGUGCAGGUUGCAAGACUACUUUGAGCUUGCAAUUUGACCCUUGUUCGAUUUCUCCAUUGCAGGUCGCAAAGCGGUUGGAAAAGUUCAAGACAACAAUUUUCACUCAGAUGAGCAUGCUUGCCAUCAAGCAUGGAGCAAUAAACCUUGGCCAGGGCUUUCCAAAUUUUGAUGGCCCAGACUUUGUGAAAGAAGCUGCAAUUCAAGCUAUCAAUGCUGGGAAGAAUCAGUAUGCAAGAGGGUUUGGUGUGCCUGAACUGAACUCGGCUAUUGCUGAAAGGUUCCUGAAGGACAGUGGAUUGCAAGUUGACCCUGACAAAGAAGUUACUGUUACAUCUGGAUGCACUGAAGCAAUAGCUUCAACAAUACUAGGUCUGAUUAAUCCUGGCGAUGAGGUGAUAUUGUUUGCUCCAUUCUACGAUUCAUAUGAGGCCACACUGUCGAUGGCCGGUGCCAAUGUAAAGGCCAUUACCCUCCGUGCUCCAGAUUUCGCAGUCCCGCUUGAAGAGCUGGAGGCGGCAGUCUCCAAGAACACCAAAGCGAUAAUGAUAAACACACCGCAUAAUCCAACUGGGAAAAUGUUCACUAGAGAGGAGCUUGAAUUUAUUGCCACCCUCUGCAAGGAAAAUGAUGUUUUGCUGUUCUCUGAUGAGGUCUAUGACAAAUUGUCGUUUGAGGCUGAUCACAUAUCAAUGGCUUCUAUCCCUGGCAUGUAUGAGAGGACUGUGACCAUGAACUCUCUGGGGAAGACAUUCUCUCUUACAGGAUGGAAGAUUGGGUGGGCAAUCGCACCGCCACACCUGACAUGGGGUCUUAGGCAAGCACACUCAUUCCUGACAUUUGCCACCUGCACACCAAUGCAAGCAGCAGCGGCAGCAGCUCUGAGAGCACCAGAUAGCUACUAUGAGGAACUGAAGAGGGACUACAGUGCAAAGAAGGCUAUACUGUUAGAAGGACUAGAAGCUGCAGGGUUUAUUGUUUACCCAUCGAGUGGAACAUACUUCAUCAUGGUGGACCACACCCCAUUCGGUUUCGACAAUGACAUAGAGUUCUGCGAGUACUUGAUUCGUGAAGUCGGCGUGGCCGCUAUACCACCGAGCGUAUUUUAUCUCAACCCUGAGGAGGGGAAGAACCUGGUGAGGUUUACCUUCUGCAAGGAUGAAGAUACGCUGCGUGGCGCGGUCGAGAGGAUGAAGACGAGGCUCAGGAAGAAAUGAAGGGCGGGGAAAAUUCCAUGUGGCUUGGUGAUUGCUG
This 2422-nucleotide long non-coding RNA is filed under the name Sorghum bicolor (sorghum). Its description in RNAcentral is "long non-coding RNA (SBIC_LNC003636)". The record is from RNAcentral. Lineage: Eukaryota; Viridiplantae; Streptophyta; Magnoliopsida; Poales; Poaceae.